This 326-nucleotide ribosomal RNA is filed under the name uncultured eukaryote. RNAcentral's name for it is "partial 18S ribosomal RNA". It matches the Rfam family "Eukaryotic small subunit ribosomal RNA", at positions 1470 to 1796 of the family's 1831-position model. The record is from RNAcentral.
CCCUUAGAUGUUCUGGGCCGCACGCGCGCUACACUGAUGCAUUCAACGAGCACCCGCUGGGCCGAGAGGUCCGGCUAAUCUUUGAACGUGCAUCGUGCUGGGGAUAGAUGAUUGCAAUUAUUCAUCUUCAACGAGGAAUUCCUAGUAAACGCAAGUCAUCAGCUUGCAUUGAUUACGUCCCUGCCCUUUGUACACACCGCCCGUCGCUCCUACCGAUUGAAUGGUCCGGUGAAGCGUUCGGACCGUGGCCUUUGGACGGUUCGCCGUCUGUUGGCUGCGGGAAGUUCGUUAAACCUUAUCAUUUAGAGGAAGGAGAAGUCGUAACA